AUUGAACGCUGGCGGCAGGCCUAACACAUGCAAGUCGAGCGGUAACAGAAAGUAGCUUGCUACUUUGCUGACGAGCGGCGGACGGGUGAGUAAUGCUUGGGAACAUGCCUUGAGGUGGGGGACAACAGUUGGAAACGACUGCUAAUACCGCAUAAUGUCUACGGACCAAAGGGGGCUUCGGCUCUCGCCUUUAGAUUGGCCCAAGUGGGAUUAGCUAGUUGGUGAGGUAAUGGCUCACCAAGGCGACGAUCCCUAGCUGGUUUGAGAGGAUGAUCAGCCACACUGGGACUGAGACACGGCCCAGACUCCUACGGGAGGCAGCAGUGGGGAAUAUUGCACAAUGGGCGCAAGCCUGAUGCAGCCAUGCCGCGUGUGUGAAGAAGGCCUUCGGGUUGUAAAGCACUUUCAGUCAGGAGGAAAGGUUAGUAGUUAAUACCUGCUAGCUGUGACGUUACUGACAGAAGAAGCACCGGCUAACUCCGUGCCAGCAGCCGCGGUAAUACGGAGGGUGCGAGCGUUAAUCGGAAUUACUGGGCGUAAAGCGUACGCAGGCGGUUUGUUAAGCGAGAUGUGAAAGCCCCGGGCUCAACCUGGGAACUGCAUUUCGAACUGGCAAACUAGAGUGUGAUAGAGGGUGGUAGAAUUUCAGGUGUAGCGGUGAAAUGCGUAGAGAUCUGAAGGAAUACCGAUGGCGAAGGCAGCCACCUGGGUCAACACUGACGCUCAUGUACGAAAGCGUGGGGAGCAAACGGGAUUAGAUACCCCGGUAGUCCACGCCGUAAACGAUGUCUACUAGAAGCUCGGAGCCUCGGUUCUGUUUUUCAAAGCUAACGCAUUAAGUAGACCGCCUGGGGAGUACGGCCGCAAGGUUAAAACUCAAAUGAAUUGACGGGGGCCCGCACAAGCGGUGGAGCAUGUGGUUUAAUUCGAUGCAACGCGAAGAACCUUACCUACACUUGACAUACAGAGAACUUACCAGAGAUGGUUUGGUGCCUUCGGGAACUCUGAUACAGGUGCUGCAUGGCUGUCGUCAGCUCGUGUUGUGAGAUGUUGGGUUAAGUCCCGCACCGAGCGCA
RNAcentral lists this ribosomal RNA (1076 nucleotides) under Pseudoalteromonas sp. B28. Its description in RNAcentral is "bacterial SSU rRNA". It matches the Rfam family "Bacterial small subunit ribosomal RNA", at positions 28 to 1100 of the family's 1533-position model. Lineage: Bacteria; Pseudomonadati; Pseudomonadota; Gammaproteobacteria; Alteromonadales; Pseudoalteromonadaceae. The record is from RNAcentral.